AGUGAACGCUGGCGGUAUGCCUAACACAUGCAAGUCGAACGGCAGCACAGUAAGAGCUUGCUCUUACGGGUGGCGAGUGGCGGACGGGUGAGGAAUACAUCGGAAUCUACUUUUUCGUGGGGGAUUACGUAGGGCAACUUACGCUAAUACCGCAUACGACCUACGGGUGAAAGCAGGGGAUCUUCGGACCUUGCGCGAUUGAAUGAGCCGAUGUCGGAUUAGCUAGUUGGCAGGGUAAAGGCCCACCAAGGCGACGAUCCGUAGCUGAUCUGAGAGGAUGAUCAGCCACACUGGAACUGAGACACGGUCCAGACUCCUACGGGAGGCAGCAGUGGGGAAUAUUGGACAAUGGGCGCAAGCCUGAUCCAGCCAUACCGCGUGAGUGAAGAAGGCCUUCGGGUUGUAAAGCCCUUUUGUUGGGAAAGAAAAGCAGCAGGUUAAUACCCCGCUGUUCUGACGGUACCCAAAGAAUAAGCACCGGCUAACUUCGUG
RNAcentral lists this ribosomal RNA (492 nucleotides) under uncultured bacterium. Its description in RNAcentral is "partial 16S ribosomal RNA". It matches the Rfam family "Bacterial small subunit ribosomal RNA", at positions 29 to 507 of the family's 1533-position model. The record is from RNAcentral.